GAGUAUGUCUGGGAACUGCCUGAUGGAGGGGGAUAACUACUGGAAACGGUAGCUAAUACCGCAUAACGUCGCAAGACCAAAGAGGGGGACCUUCGGGCCUCUUGCCAUCGGAUGUGCCCAGAUGGGAUUAGCUAGUAGGUGGGGUAAAGGCUCACCUAGGCGACGAUCCCUAGCUGGUCUGAGAGGAUGACCAGCCACACUGGAACUGAGACACGGUCCAGACUCCUACGGGAGGCAGCAGUGGGGAAUAUUGCACAAUGGGCGCAAGCCUGAUGCAGCCAUGCCGCGUGUAUGAAGAAGGCCUUCGGGUUGUAAAGUACUUUCAGCGGGGAGGAAGGGAGUAAAGUUAAUACCUUUGCUCAUUGACGUUACCCGCAGAAGAAGCACCGGCUAACUCCGUGCCAGCAGCCGCGGUAAUACGGAGGGUGCAAGCGUUAAUCGGAAUUACUGGGCGUAAAGCGCACGCAGGCGGUUUGUUAAGUCAGAUGUGAAU
RNAcentral lists this ribosomal RNA (493 nucleotides) under Escherichia coli. RNAcentral's name for it is "bacterial SSU rRNA". It matches the Rfam family "Bacterial small subunit ribosomal RNA", at positions 108 to 599 of the family's 1533-position model. Lineage: Bacteria; Pseudomonadati; Pseudomonadota; Gammaproteobacteria; Enterobacterales; Enterobacteriaceae. The record is from RNAcentral.